Molecule: ribosomal RNA, 429 nt
Filed under: Acidobacteriota bacterium
Lineage: Bacteria; Pseudomonadati; Acidobacteriota
Description: Acidobacteria bacterium partial 16S ribosomal RNA
Rfam family: Bacterial small subunit ribosomal RNA
Source: RNAcentral
UGGGGAAUCUUGGACAAUGGGGGAAACCCUGAUCCAGCCAUCCCGCGUGUGCGAUGAAGGCCUUCGGGUUGUAAAGCACUUUUGGCAGGAAAGAAACGUCAUGGGUUAAUACCCCGUGAAACUGACGGUACCUGCAGAAUAAGCACCGGCUAACUACGUGCCAGCAGCCGCGGUAAUACGUAGGGUGCAAGCGUUAAUCGGAAUUACUGGGCGUAAAGCGUGCGCAGGCGGUUCGGAAAGAAAGAUGUGAAAUCCCAGAGCUCAACUUUGGAACUGCAUUUUUAACUACCGGGCUAGAGUGUGUCAGAGGGAGGUGGAAUUCCGCGUGUAGCAGUGAAAUGCGUAGAUAUGCGGAGGAACACCGAUGGCGAAGGCAGCCUCCUGGGAUAACACUGACGCUCAUGCACGAAAGCGUGGGGAGCAAACAGG